AAUAUUGGACAAUGGGGGCAAACCUGAUCCAGCCAUGCCUCGUGUGUGAAGAAGGUCUUCGGAUUGUAAAGCACUUUAAGUUGGGAGGAAGGGCUUUAGGCUAAUACCCUGAAGUUUUGACGUUACCAAUAGAAUAAGCACCUGCUAACUCUGUGCCAGCAGCCGCGGUAAUACAGAGGGUGCAAGCGUUAAUCGGAAUUACUGGUCGUAAAGCGAGCGUAGGGGUUUCAGUAAGAUGGGUGUGAAAUCCCCGGGCUUAACCUGGGAACUGCUUUCAUAACUGCUGAGCUAGAUUACGGUAGAGGGUAGUGGAAUUUCCUGUGUAGCGGUGAAAUGCGUAGAUAUAGGAAGGAACACCAGUGGCGAAGGCGACUACCUGGACUGAUACUGACACUGAGGUGCGAAAGCGUGGGGAGCAAACA
This 422-nucleotide ribosomal RNA is filed under the name uncultured bacterium. Its description in RNAcentral is "partial 16S ribosomal RNA". It matches the Rfam family "Bacterial small subunit ribosomal RNA", at positions 360 to 774 of the family's 1533-position model. The record is from RNAcentral.